AUAUUGGUGCGAGACCGAUAGCGAACAAGUACCGUGAGGGAAAGAUGAAAAGAACUCUGAAAAGAGAGUUAAAGAGUACCUGAAACUGCUGAAAGGGAACCGGAUCGUUUCUAGUGUCUAUAAUCCGUGACAUAUUUCAUUGGGGAGUGUGUGCGUGUGUAUACUAUGGCAGUGGCUUUUUUGGCUGCGCUUGGUGUGCGUGCUGUAUGCGCUUACUGGUGCCCUGUGUUGCGGUGGGACGUCAAGGUCGGUUUGUAUACUGCGGGAAAUGGCUACUGAGGAGGUAGGGCUUACGCUUGCGUUUGUCUAUUAUAUCUUGGUAGUUGUGUCGUGGUUGAGACUGAGGUGUUCUACAACGUGCUUUUGAGUGGGACUGUGUCUCCGUGUGCACCGUGUGCGGAUAGCUUGCUAUGUGUGUGUGGUUGUAUGUGGAUUGAUGCGGGCUUUAACUUGUAGCCGUUCGGGACGUUGACGAAAUAGAGCGAUUUGACCCGUCUUGAAACACGGACC
RNAcentral lists this ribosomal RNA (510 nucleotides) under uncultured eukaryote. RNAcentral's name for it is "LSU rRNA". It matches the Rfam family "Eukaryotic large subunit ribosomal RNA", at positions 320 to 667 of the family's 3401-position model. The record is from RNAcentral.